GCUAUUUUAGUUUAUGUUAUAAAAUUUUUAAUUUGUAAUUAAAAGAAUUUAAGUAGCU
RNAcentral lists this transfer RNA (58 nucleotides) under Strongyloides sp. EN-2020b. RNAcentral describes it as "tRNA-Thr". The record is from RNAcentral. Lineage: Eukaryota; Metazoa; Nematoda; Chromadorea; Rhabditida; Strongyloididae.